UACGUAGGUGGCGAGCGUUGUCCGGAUUUACUGGGCGUAAAGGGAGCGUAGGCGGGCUUUUAAGUGAGAUGUGAAAUACUCGGGCUCAACUUGAGUGCUGCAUUUCAAACUGGAAGUCUAGAGUGCAGGAGAGGAGAAUGGAAUUCCUAGUGUAGCGGUGAAAUGCGUAGAGAUUAGGAAGAACACCAGUGGCGAGGGCGAUUCUCUGGACUGUAACUGACGCUGAGGCUCGAAAGCGUGGGGAGCAAACAGG
Molecule: ribosomal RNA, 253 nt
Filed under: uncultured bacterium
Lineage: Bacteria
Description: partial 16S ribosomal RNA
Rfam family: Bacterial small subunit ribosomal RNA
Source: RNAcentral